AGACCCGAAACCCGGUGAUCUAGCCAUGGGCAGGUUGAAGGUUGGGUAACACUAACUGGAGGACCGAACCGACUAAUGUUGAAAAAUUAGCGGAUGACCUGUGGCUGGGGGUGAAAGGCCAAUCAAACCGGGAGAUAGCUGGUUCUCCCCGAAAGCUAUUUAGGUAGCGCCUCGUGAAUUCAUCUCCGGGGGUAGAGCACUGUUUCGGCUAGGGGGCCAUCCCGGCUUACCAACCCGAUGCAAACUGCGAAUACCGGAGAAUGUUAUCACGGGAGACACACGGCGGGUGCUAACGUCCGUCGUGAAGAGGGAAACAACCCAGACCGCCAGCUAAGGUCCCAAAGUCAUGGUUAAGUGGGAAACGAUGUGGGAAGGCCCAGACAGCCAGGAUGUUGGCUUAGAAGCAGCCAUCAUUUAAAGAAAGCGUAAUAGCUCACUGGUCGAGUCGGCCUGCGCGGAAGAUGUAACGGGGCUAAACCAUGCACCGAAGCUGCGGCAGCGAACGUAUCACCCAAGACAACUUUACGGAGUUGACGAUUGACGGAGCGAAGCGACGUCAAAGCGUUCAUUAAAGUCGAGUUGGCUUAGGGAUACGUUCGUUGGGUAGGGGAGCGUUCUGUAAGCCUGUGAAGGUGUGUCGUGAGGCAUGCUGGAGGUAUCAGAAGUGCGAAUGCUGACAUAAGUAACGAUAAAGCGGGUGAAAAGCCCGCUCGCCGGAAGACCAAGGGUUCCUGUCCAACGUUAAUCGGGGCAGGGUGAGUCGACCCCUAAGGCGAGGCCGAAAGGCGUAGUCGAUGGGAAACGGGUUAAUAUUCCCGUACUUGGUGUUACUGCGAAGGGGGGACGGAGAAGGCUAUGUUGGCCGGGCGACGGUUGUCCCGGUUUAAGCGUGUAGGUGUGUGUUCCAGGUAAAUCCGGUUCACUUUAACACUGAGGCGUGACGACGAGGCACUACGGUGCUGAAGCAACAAAUGCCCUGCUUCCAGGAAAAGCCUCUAAGCAUCAGGUAACACGAAAUCGUACCCCAAACCGACACAGGUGGUCAGGUAGAGAAUACCAAGGCGCUUGAGAGAACUCGGGUGAAGGAACUAGGCAAAAUGGUGCCGUAACUUCGGGAGAAGGCACGCUGACACGUAGGUGAAGUGAUUUACUCAUGGAGCUGAAGUCAGUCGAAGAUACCAGCUGGCUGCAACUGUUUAUUAAAAACACAGCACUGUGCAAACACGAAAGUGGACGUAUACGGUGUGACGCCUGCCCGGUGCCGGAAGGUUAAUUGAUGGGGUCAGCGCAAGCGAAGCUCCUGAUCGAAGCCCCGGUAAACGGCGGCCGUAACUAUAACGGUCCUAAGGUAGCGAAAUUCCUUGUCGGGUAAGUUCCGACCUGCACGAAUGGCGUAAUGAUGGCCAGGCUGUCUCCACCCGAGACUCAGUGAAAUUGAACUCGCUGUGAAGAUGCAGUGUACCCGCGGCAAGACGGAAAGACCCCGUGAACCUUUACUAUAGCUUGACACUGAACAUUGAGCCUUGAUGUGUAGGAUAGGUGGGAGGCUUUGAAGUGUGGACGCCAGUCUGCAUGGAGCCGACCUUGAAAUACCACCCUUUAAUGUUUGAUGUUCUAACGUGGACCCGUAAUCCGGGUUGCGGACAGUGUCUGGUGGGUAGUUUGACUGGGGCGGUCUCCUCCUAAAGAGUAACGGAGGAGCACGAAGGUUGGCUAAUCCUGGUCGGACAUCAGGAGGUUAGUGCAAUGGCAUAAGCCAGCUUGACUGCGAGCGUGACGGCGCGAGCAGGUGCGAAAGCAGGUCAUAGUGAUCCGGUGGUUCUGAAUGGAAGGGCCAUCGCUCAACGGAUAAAAGGUACUCCGGGGAUAACAGGCUGAUACCGCCCAAGAGUUCAUAUCGACGGCGGUGUUUGGCACCUCGAUGUCGGCUCAUCACAUCCUGGGGCUGAAGUAGGUCCCAAGGGUAUGGCUGUUCGCCAUUUAAAGUGGUACGCGAGCUGGGUUUAGAACGUCGUGAGACAGUUCGGUCCCUAUCUGCCGUGGGCGCUGGAGAACUGAGGGGGGCUGCUCCUAGUACGAGAGGACCGGAGUGGACGCAUCACUGGUGUUCGGGUUGUCAUGCCAAUGGCACUGCCCGGUAGCUAAAUGCGGAAGAGAUAAGUGCUGAAAGCAUCUAAGCACGAAACUUGCCCCGAGAUGAGUUCUCCCUGAGACUUAGAGUCUCCUGAAGGAACGUUGAAGACGACGACGUUGAUAGGCCGGGUGUGUAAGCGCAGCGAUGCGUUGAGCUAACCGGUACUAAUGAACCGUGAGGCUUAACCUUACAACGCCGAAG
Molecule: ribosomal RNA, 2335 nt
Filed under: Salmonella enterica
Lineage: Bacteria; Pseudomonadati; Pseudomonadota; Gammaproteobacteria; Enterobacterales; Enterobacteriaceae
Also listed under: 3 other names
Description: partial 23S ribosomal RNA
Rfam family: Bacterial large subunit ribosomal RNA
Source: RNAcentral